This 497-nucleotide ribosomal RNA is filed under the name uncultured bacterium. RNAcentral's name for it is "partial 16S ribosomal RNA". It matches the Rfam family "Bacterial small subunit ribosomal RNA", at positions 28 to 507 of the family's 1533-position model. The record is from RNAcentral.
GAUGAACGCUGGCGGCGUGCCUAAUACAUGCAAGUCGAGCGAACGGACGAGAAUCUUGCUUCUCUGAUGUUAGCGGCGGACGGGUGAGUAACACGUGGAUAACCUACCUAUAAGACUGGGAUAACUUCGGGAAACCGGAGCUAAUACCGGAUAAUAUUUUGAACCGCAUGGUUCAAAAGUGAAAUACGGUCUUUCUGGCAGUUAUAGAUGGAUCCGCGCUGCAUGAGCUAGUUGGUAAGGUAACGGCUUACCAAGGCAACGAUGCAUAGCCGACCUGAGAGGGUGAUCGGCCACACUGGAACUGAGACACGGUCCAGACUCCUACGGGAGGCAGCAGUAGGGAAUCUUACGCAAUGGGCGAAAGCCUGACGGAGCAACGCCGCGUGAGUGAUGAAGGUGUUCGGAUCGUAAAACUCUGUUAUUAGGGAAGAACAUAUGUGUAAGUAACUGUGCACAUAUUGACGGUACCUAAUAAGAAAGCCACGGCUAACUACGUG